Molecule: ribosomal RNA, 467 nt
Filed under: uncultured bacterium
Lineage: Bacteria
Description: partial 16S ribosomal RNA
Rfam family: Bacterial small subunit ribosomal RNA
Source: RNAcentral
GACGAACGCUGGCGGCGUGCUUAACACAUGCAAGUCGAACGGAAAGGCCUCUUUCGGGGGGUACUCGAGUGGCGAACGGGUGAGUAACACGUGAGUAACCUGCCCUUGACUUUGGGUUAACUUCAGGAAACUGGGGCUAAUACCGGAUAGGAGCUCCUGCUGCAUGGUGGGGGUUGGAAAGUUUCGGCGGCUGGGGAUGGACUCGCGGCGUAUCAGCUUGGUGGUGGGGUAGUGGCUUACCAAGGCUUUGACGGGUAGCCGGCCUGAGACGGUGACCGGCCACAUUGGGACUGAGAUAAGGCCCAGACUCGUACGGGAGGCAGCAGUGGGGAAUAUUGCACAAUGGGUGGAAGCCUGAUGCAGCAACGCCGUGUGCGGGAUGACGGCCUUCGUGUUGUAAACCGCUUUCGCUCAUGACGAAGCUUUGUGUGACGGUAGUGGGUAAAGAAGCACCGGCUAACUACGUG